Molecule: ribosomal RNA, 577 nt
Filed under: Hasarius neocaledonicus
Lineage: Eukaryota; Metazoa; Arthropoda; Arachnida; Araneae; Salticidae
Description: partial 16S ribosomal RNA
Rfam family: Archaeal large subunit ribosomal RNA (bases 187-482)
Source: RNAcentral
AUUUYUAUUAAAAUUAUUAAUAGUAUAAUCUGCUCAAUGAAUAAUUCAAUAGCCGCAAUUCGUGCUAAGGUAGCAUAAUCAUUUGUCUUUUAAAUGGGGACUAGAACAAAAGAUUUAACAUUUCAAUGUAUUUCUUUAAUUUAAUAUAUUUAAAUUAUUCUAAGUGUAAAAAAACACUUAUAAAAAAAAAAGACGAUAAGACCCUAUUGAACUUAACUUUAGUUAAACUGGGGCAGUAGAUUAAUUAAUAUUUUAAUUUAUUUUUUUACAAAAAAAUCCAAUAGCAUUGAUCUAAUCAGUUACCAUAGGGAUAACAGCGCAAUUAUUUUCAAAAGCUCUUAUUUAAAAUAUAGAUUACGACCUCGAUGUUGAAUUAAUAACCUAUUUAAAGCAAAAUUUAAAUAAAGGAAGUCUGUUCGACUUUUAAAAAAUUACAUGAUUUGAGUUCAGACCGGUAUAAGCCAGGUCGGCUUCCAUCUUUUAAACAAUUUUUUACAGUACGAAAGGACCUAAGAAUAUAAUUUAAUUAUAUUAUUGGCAGAUAAAUGCAUUAGAAUUAGAAUCUAAUAAAAGUCAA